Molecule: ribosomal RNA, 408 nt
Filed under: Triticum aestivum (bread wheat)
Lineage: Eukaryota; Viridiplantae; Streptophyta; Magnoliopsida; Poales; Poaceae
Description: partial small subunit ribosomal RNA
Source: RNAcentral
AUGAUCUUAAAAAGGUGUAUCAUUUGUGAUAUAUGUACUAUUUUUAAAUUGUCACAAAGUAUAUGCAUACACUAUUCAUUCAUCCAUCUAGAUCUAAUGUAUCUUUUCAUGUCCCUGCAAAAGAGCUUAUCAGUAUGUGUGUUCUGGUUAUAUAUCAACAAAAAUAGCAGAGAAAUCGAUGGCAAAAAUAAGGAACAAUAUUCUUCUUAUUUCCAAGAAAGGCAUUUAGUUGAUUCAUGUCAGUUCUUGGAAAUAAAGCAUCAUACAAUGAUAGGUAACAGUAAGAUACUUGACAUAUCUGAAGCUGAAAGUGUUCUCUUAUAUUUCGUAAACUUUUUCAUUGUAUUAUAUUCUAUAAGAGCAUCAAAGUCGUGUUCUAUUUUGUUGGAUACAUCAAUGAUUUUUUGA